Molecule: ribosomal RNA, 253 nt
Filed under: uncultured bacterium
Lineage: Bacteria
Description: partial 16S ribosomal RNA
Rfam family: Bacterial small subunit ribosomal RNA
Source: RNAcentral
GACGUAGGGGGCCAGCGUUGUUCGGAAUUACUGGGUGUAAAGGGUUCGUAGGCGGUGUGGCAAGUCGGGAGUGAAAUCUCUGGGCUCAACCCAGAGACUGCUUCCGAAACUGCUGUGCUUGAGUGUGAGAGAGGCUCGUGGAAUUGCAGGUGUAGCGGUGAAAUGCGUAGAUAUCUGCAGGAACACCCGUGGCGAAGGCGGCAUCCUGGACCGGUAUUGACGCUGAGGCGCGAAAGCCAGGGGAGCAAACGGG